Molecule: RNA transcript, 4604 nt
Organism: Folsomia candida
Lineage: Eukaryota; Metazoa; Arthropoda; Collembola; Entomobryomorpha; Isotomidae
Gene name: protein spinster
Exons: 18
Source: RefSeq, a predicted model, not a curated record
AAUACGAGAGAGAGAUUUCCAUGUGUCAGUUGAGUUCAGUCUUUGGCACAGUUCAGUAACUGGUGAACUUCAGUUAGUUGAUUGGUUGGGUUUGUGUGUCAUUAUUAUUACUUAUCCAGCAGCGGUUGUUCUCUCUGCCAAAAGUCAUCAUCAUAACAGGAAACGUAAAGUAAACACGGUUAUUCAUUUGUUGGAGAUUUAAACAAGAUUGUGACGUGUUGAUCGUGUAAUCUUGAUAACAUUUUAUGGUCUACAUAUUGCGACGACCCUGAAGGAAGCAAUUUGACCUGUAAUUACAUCGGGGUUUGUGGUGGUGAAAGAAAAUACCCGGUCUCUGGAGAAUAAUACAAUACCGGAUGUCAUUCGCAUAAUAGCGUGCCAGAGUAGACAUAGAAGAAGAAAACGUGUUAUGUUCCACAAGAUUCGUGGUUCUUAUUUGUGACGUAGCAGUCCACGUAAUUCGGAUCGGAAUUCGGAGAAACCCGGUAGUAGUAGUAAAAAGGGGUUUUGUUGCACAAGAUUCAAGGUAACCCCCGAACUUGCUCCCAACUGACUCACCCUUUUUGCAUCGGAUGUUCACAGAGGAGUGAAUGAAUCAACGUUUUCCCGUCCUGUGAUACGCUCUCAGAAACUAAAAAUCCAGUCACACCACCAGGAACCGACCGAGUUCCAUCCAGCAGCAGCAAAGUCAAAACCAGUCAGUAUUUAACCGACACGGGACAUAGUGCAUUCCUAAAGAUACAUACGGUCACCAAAAAUCCUUGCCACUACGAACUAUUAACUAAAAUGCCAAAGGUCACCGCAUAUUCUUAAGUUAUUGGAGUAUAUACCGACCGGGUUUUAUACACGUGGACCUCAAUUUUUUGCAAGCUGUUGUACAAAAAUUGGAUCUCUUCCCAGUACUAUAUAAGCUGCUCCAGAGUUCUAAAUACUUGUAAUAGAAAAGAGAUUAACUUUUUGAAGAGGACCGAGUUGAAAGAAAAGCAUUCAAUUUGGGAACUUGAGAAUAGUUGCCAGAAAGAAGCCGGCUCGCAUCCGUUCCAUAAUUCUGUGUGAUCAGCUUUUGAUGAUGAUGACAUCGCUACAAGGUUGAAACCUUUCUUUUUGCUCCAGAUCUCCUCAGAUCUUGUGUGACCCUCUAAACUAAACCAAGUGACAUGUCCACAUCAACAAGACCGAAUGGAGGGGGUGGCGGAGAUGUAGCAAUUCCUUCCAAUAAGUCGAAUCAGAAAUUAGUUAGUGAUGAUUAUCUGGAGAAUCAAGUAUCUAGUAGAAGUAGUCAAGAAUUGUCGUCCUCCAGUAGUGCAGUAGCUAUGCAGAGAGGGAUAUCUACUGAAUCUUCCGGUCAAAGUUGUAGCAGUAUAACAAAAUCGCAAUGGCUCACAGUUGCCGUAUUAGUCUACGUCAACCUCAUCAACUAUAUGGAUCGCUUCACCCUUGCCGGGAUUCUGGAUAAAAUUCAGUGUAACUUUGGCAUUGAGAACAGUGAGGGUGGUCUACUUCAAACAGUAUUCGUAAUCAGUUACAUGAUUUUUGCUCCUGUAUUCGGAUAUCUGGGUGACAGAUAUUCUCGAAGAUUUAUAAUGGCAUUUGGAGUUUUUCUUUGGAGUCUCACCACUUUGCUUGGCUCAUUUAUGGAUAAAAGUUGGACAUGGUUUGUCGUAUGUCGAGCCUUGGUUGGAAUUGGUGAAGCAAGUUAUUCGACGAUAGCCCCGACAAUUCUUAGCGACAUGUUCACGCAUGACAUGAGAUCAAAAAUGUUGGCAUUGUUUUAUUUUGCCAUUCCAGUUGGAAGUGGGCUGGGAUAUAUUGUUGGUUCCGAGACGGAAAAAUUUACUAAAGACUGGCGGUGGUCACUUCGAGUUACUCCUAUUAUGGGAAGUGUAGCUACGAUCCUUAUACUUAUCGCCAUGAUUGAUCCUCCCCGAGGUCAAUCAGAGGGCUCUACAGCUUUAAAAGCUACAUCGUACAAAGAGGAUGUCGUUUACUUGCGAAAAAAUAAAAGUUUCAUCUUGUCUACACUUGGAUUUACCUGCGUUACAUUCGUUGCUGGAGCUUUAGCUUGGUGGGGUCCUAUUUUUAUUACUUAUGGACUUACAAUUCAGGAUGGAGCAGGACAUGUGGAAAUGUCAGACGUAUCGCUCAAAUUCGGAGUAGUCACCAUGUUAUCGGGGUUAAUCGGAGUUCCACUUGGUUCCUAUGCUGCUCAAAAGUUCAGAAUUCGUAAUGGGCGUGCUGAUCCAUUGAUAUGUGCCUUUGGACUUCUUGCCAGCACCCCAUUAAUGUUUUUGGCUGCCGUCACUGCCCAAUAUCACACUGUGGCGUGUUUUACACUAAUAUUUUUUGCCGAGUUGUUCCUAAACUUGAACUGGUCAAUUGUAGCAGACAUUCUAUUGUAUACUGUCAUUCCAACACGACGAUCGACCGCUGAAGCAUUCCAAAUUCUAUUAAGUCAUGCAUUUGGGGAUGCCGGAAGUCCAUAUCUGAUUGGAAUCAUUUCGGACGAAUUGAAGAAAGUGUUGCGACAAAAGAAUGAAACAGAGAUAACAAUGAAUGCUACCUCAAUUAUUACUAAUUCUUCGCUACUCCAGACUAUGAACUUUGAAGAUAUGUCGUGCAAUUCUACGCACAUUAGCAAUGAAAGUGCUGCACUCGAGUUUCAAAGUUUACAGUACUCUCUGUUCAUUACUUGUUUUGUCGAAGUCCUGGGAGGGUUAUUUUUCCUCAUGACGGCCUGGUAUAUAAUUUCCGACAAAAACAAAUGUGAUCGUAUUAUUGCCACAUCUUCCGAAGAAGAGAAAGUACAGCCUAGUUCCAAAAUCGGUCCAAUGCCAUUAGCCAAAAAGGGCGACAGCAAGUCGAGCUCUACCGAUUCUGGACUUCAGAUGGAAGAAUCUUCUGUCAUUAGCGAAACGACCAGUUUAUAACCUUGCUCAACCAGCCACUGUAUUUGCGAAAAAUUCAGACCCCCUGUUCCUGAUUAUUUGUUUUUCAAAUGUCAACCCAACCCAAUCUGCCUGCCUAAAAACAAAAUAAGAAUUCGCCAGAAAAUUGUUGUUUCCGUACUGCUUACAUAUUACGCCCCACGCCCAAACUACCGCCUCUGAGUUUACGGUGGUCAACUUAUGCCGGAUGAAGCGUCAUCAUCUCAAACUGACGAUGAUGAGGAGGACAGCCGACCUCCAGGAAGAAUAACUUAUCCAUGAUCAGAGAUUACAUUAUAUAAACGCAUUGCUACUAUUUACCAAGAUUUGAAUAUUAAUUGGAGAAUUUUAGAGCAAAAGACUUGAUCCAAUAUAUAUCUGAUCUCAUACUAAAAGAAAACUUGACUUUUUUUAAACUAAUUUGAGUACUUAUGUAUUACUCGCUCUCUUUUAAUCUCUGAACAAUGUGCAAUCUCAAGUCGUCACAUUUUAACAUCUUACUAUUCAGGAUCAUGAAUAAUUUAUUAAUUUAUAUGGGCUGACUCCUCUUUGGGGAUAGUAAUUUUAUUAUUUUUAACCUUUUAAAAGCCACAUUGUAAUCAGAGAUAUCUCUAUCAGGCUGAAUUAUUAAAUUAAUAUUGUAUAAUUCCAUAAUGGACUACAUUUUAGUACGUUUUCUGUACGUGCUUUUUGGUGCUACAAAAAAUUGUUAGCUGAAAACUAUUUUUUCAUGCAAAAAAACAGUUUACUUACUAAACUGGCUACACAAUUCUUCAAGUUACAAAUUAAAUCGGAUCUGCAAAUGUCAAUCAUUUUUACCUAUUUGAUAAACGUCUUUGUACUUUAGCUGAAAAAGUAGAGACAGGGCAGGGGAGGACGACUGUAAAUUAUCUAUUAAUUGUACAUGCUGUUGUUUAGUCGUUGGGUUUUCAUUAUGAAAAUUUCAAUAGCCGUGGAAAAGGUGGUCCUAAGCAAUGUCAUCCAACUAUCCGAGGAAGAAUAUAAUUGCUUUUGUAUUGAAUUCCACUUUAAGUUUUGCUCACUAUUAUAAAUAAAUACAUGGACAAGUAUUCAUUAGUCGGUUAGGAUUAUGGAAUAUAAAGUCGUGUCAAGACUGAAUAUUCGUAUAAUUUAUAUUGUAUGUACUGAACAUUGUGUAAGACUUAUAGUUAAUCGAUGGGCAAAAUUAAAGAUAAAAGCUUUAAGUGAGGAAUAUAAUGGAUAAUAUUCAUACAUAUGUAAUAGCAUAGCAGCCAAAGCCAAAAAUUUUGACAAAAUAUUAAAGUAUGUAUACUCUGGGAAUCAAUUGAAAUUGACAAAUAACCCUUGGAAAUUUCGUAUCAAAAGCUUUUCUAUAUUUGUGACCUUAUACUGACAGGUGCCAAUGCAGUGGAUUUAUACGUUAUUGGGUUGCUACUUUUAAUACUGUUAGUAAUAUCUAAGUAAUACUAGUAAACGUCAUUUUCCUGUGUAUGCACAUAUAAAAAACGCUGCUGAUAUACUUAUGUUACGCAUAGGCUAAUAAAUAAAACUGUUACUAUUUACUUAUGGAAUGCGGCUGUUGAUAAUAAUAAGUACGCUAUCUAAAUAUGAUGAUGUCUCAAGCUAUAGUGUACAAAAUGCAACGAACUUGACAUGAAAAAAUAAAGCUGGAUGGAUUAUUAAAUUGAAAUUGAAAAA